UCUCCCGUGAGGGAGCAGUCUCGCCUGACAUAGAAAACAGGCAACGGGGGUUGCGUUCGUUACCCCACUGAAGGGAACAACUCAAGCCACGAACUGACGACGACCAUGCAUCACCUGCGUAUCAGUCUUGCGAGGGCCAAAGUUUCCUAAGGCUUUCAGAUACGUUUCAAACCCUGGUGAGGUUCUUCGUUUGUCAUCGAAUUGAGCCGCAUGAUCCACCGCUUGUGCAAGUCCCCGUCUAUUCCUUUGAGUUUUAAUCUUGCGAUCGUACUACCCAGGCGCAUAACUUAACGCGUUAGCUUCGUCUCGAAGAGGGUCGAUACUCCUCAAAACCAGUUAUGAUCGUUUAGGGCGUGGACUAC
This 362-nucleotide unclassified non-coding RNA is filed under the name uncultured bacterium. RNAcentral's name for it is "contains 16S-23S intergenic spacer region". The record is from RNAcentral.